RNAcentral lists this ribosomal RNA (450 nucleotides) under uncultured bacterium. RNAcentral's name for it is "bacterial SSU rRNA". It matches the Rfam family "Bacterial small subunit ribosomal RNA", at positions 29 to 524 of the family's 1533-position model. The record is from RNAcentral.
AACGAACGCUGGCGGCAGGCCUAACACAUGCAAGUCGAACGCCGUAGCAAUACGGAGUGGCAGACGGGUGAGUAACACGUGGGAACAUACCCUUCGGUUCGGGAUAACUCAGGGAAACUUGAGCUAAUACCGGAUACGUCCGCGAGGAGAAAGAUUCAUCGCCGGAGGAUUGGCCCGCGUCUGAUUAGCUUGUUGGUGAGGUAAUGGCUCACCAAGGCGACGAUCAGUAGCUGGUCUGAGAGGAUGAUCAGCCACAUUGGGACUGAGACACGGCCCAAACUCCUACGGGAGGCAGCAGUGGGGAAUAUUGGACAAUGGGCGCAAGCCUGAUCCAGCCAUGCCGCGUGAGUGAUGAAGGCCCUAGGGUUGUAAAGCUCUUUUACCCGGGAAGAUAAUGACUGUACCGGGAGAAUAAGCCCCGGCUAACUUCGUGCCAGCAGCCGCUGUAAC